CUAUGCGCCUUGCCAGCCCGCUCAGUCAGAGUUUGAUCCUGGCUCAGGACGAACGCUGGCGGCGUGCUUAACACAUGCAAGUCGAGCGGAAAGGCCACUUCGGUGGUACUCGAGCGGCGAACGGGUGAGUAACACGUGAGUAAUCUGCCCUUGGCUUUGGGAUAGCCACCGGAAACGGUGAUUAAUACCGGAUACGACCACUUCUCGCAUGGGAUGGUGGUGGAAAGUUUUUCGGCCAGGGAUGUGCUCGCGGCCUAUCAGCUUGAUGGUGAGGUAAUGGCUCACCAUGGCUUCGACGGGUAGCCGGCCUGAGAGGGUGACCGGUCACACUGGGACUGAGACACGGCCCAG
Molecule: ribosomal RNA, 351 nt
Filed under: uncultured bacterium
Lineage: Bacteria
Description: bacterial SSU rRNA
Rfam family: Bacterial small subunit ribosomal RNA
Source: RNAcentral